UACGAAGGGGGCUAGCGUUGUUCGGAAUCACUGGGCGUAAAGGGCUCGUAGGCGGCCAACUAAGUCAGACGUGAAAUCCCUAGGCUCAACCUAGGAACUGCGUCUGAUACUGGAUGGCUUGAAUCCGGGAGAGGGAUGCAGAAUUCCAGGUGUAGCGGUGAAAUGCGUAGAUAUCUGGAGGAAUACCGGUGGCGAAGGCGGCAUCCUGGACCGGCAUUGACGCUGAGGAGCGAAAGCCAGGGGAGCAAACGGG
Molecule: ribosomal RNA, 253 nt
Filed under: uncultured bacterium
Lineage: Bacteria
Description: partial 16S ribosomal RNA
Rfam family: Bacterial small subunit ribosomal RNA
Source: RNAcentral